UACAUAGGGUGCAAGCGUUGUCCGGAAUUAUUGGGCGUAAAGAGCUCGUAGGUGGCUCGUCACGUCGAAUGUGAAACCCUGAGGCUCAACCUCAGGCCUGCAUCCGAUACGGGCGAACUGGAGUGUGGUAGGGGAGACUGGAAUUCCUGGUGUAGCGGUGGAAUGCGCAGAUAUCAGGAGGAACACCAAUGGCGAAGGCAGGUCUCUGGGCCACUACUGACACUGAGGAGCGAAAGCGUGGGGAGCAAACAGG
Molecule: ribosomal RNA, 253 nt
Filed under: uncultured bacterium
Lineage: Bacteria
Description: partial 16S ribosomal RNA
Rfam family: Bacterial small subunit ribosomal RNA
Source: RNAcentral